GACGAACGCUGGUGGCGUGCUUAACACAUGCAAGUCGAACGGGAUUUAGUAAACAGAAGCCUCGGUGGAAGAUUACUAAUGAGAGUGGCGAACGGGUGAGUAACGCGUGAGCAACCUGCCUAUGACAGUGGGAUAGCCUCGGGAAACCGGGAUUAAUACCGCAUAAAAUCGUAGAAACACAUGUUUUAACGGUCAAAGAUUUAUCGGUCAUAGAUGGGCUCGCGUCUGAUUAGCUAGUUGGUGAGAUAACAGCCCACCAAGGCGACGAUCAGUAGCCGGUCUGAGAGGAUGAACGGCCACCUUGGAGCUGAGACACGGUCCAAACUCCUACGGGAGGCAGCAGUGGGGAAUAUUGCACAAUGGGGGAAACCCUGAUGCAGCGACGCCGCGUGAACGAAGAAGGUAUUCGUAUCGUAAAGUUCUGUCCUAUGGGAAGAUAAUGACAGUACCAUAGAAGAAAGCUCCGGCUAAAUACGUG
RNAcentral lists this ribosomal RNA (478 nucleotides) under uncultured bacterium. Its description in RNAcentral is "partial 16S ribosomal RNA". It matches the Rfam family "Bacterial small subunit ribosomal RNA", at positions 28 to 507 of the family's 1533-position model. The record is from RNAcentral.